GUUAAAACCAUGCUGGAGGCUGGUGCAGUGGCUCACGCCUGUAAUCCCAGCACUUUAGGAGGCCGACGUGAGGCAGGCGGAUCACUUGGGGUCAGGAGUUUGACACCAGCCUGGCCAACCUGGUAAAACCCCAUCUCUAUUGAAAACACGAAAAUUAGCCAGGCGUGGUGGUGAGUGCCUGUGAUCCCAGCUACUCAGGAGGCUGAGGCAGGAGGAUCACUUGGACUCGGGAGGCAGAGUUACAGUGAGCCGAGAUCCUGCCACCGCACUCCAGCCUGGGCGACAGAGAAAGACCCCAUCUCAAAACAACAGCAACAACAACAAAACCGGGCUGGGCGUGCCUUCCCAUCGGACACCCGACCUCGCAAGACUGUCAUUAAAAGUCUCACUCUCGCUGUUCUCUGGGUUGUGAGUCCAUUCUCUGGGUGUGGACAGGCAUUCAGCUCAGUCUACGGCCCGCAGACAGAUUUCCUAGAAAUAACUGCUCCUACUUCUCAACUCUUAACAAAAAGGUCUCUGAAAAGGAAUUUGGAGGAAACAGACUAUUCCAGUGAAUAGUGUACAAGCCUGGGAGAUGCGGACUUUGGUGUAAAAUGAAGGUGUGUUCAAAGAGCAAAGAAGGAGUUCGGGUUUUAGAGCAAAAAGCUCCUGCCCUGGGGUCCCCAUUAGGUCCAUGUAGGCAAAUGAAGGAUUGAAACGUG
This is a long non-coding RNA of Homo sapiens (human), 701 nucleotides long. RefSeq lists it as uncharacterized. The record is from RefSeq and is a predicted model, not a curated record. The transcript is spliced from 2 exons. Lineage: Eukaryota; Metazoa; Chordata; Mammalia; Primates; Hominidae.